GGAAGCACAAGUGGCCAGUAUUCGGGUCACACCUCAAGACUUUGGUCAUAAGUUAAAACUAAAAUUCUGGUCAUAACCCAAAUUAUUCUUAUGUCGGACCAGGUUGUAACUCGAGGGUCCACUGUAUUUGGAUACAGGUUCUUGUUAAUCUGCCAAGUUGCCCAGGCUGGCCUUAAACUUGUGAUCCUCCUGCCUCAGCCUCCCAGAAUACAGGGAUGAACGACAUUCACCACCAUGCCCAACUUGACUUUGUCAUCUUUUAUAAAACAGCACUGGGGUGGACACUCUUCAGGUAUAACAUUCUAUGAACAUGGCAUUAUACUAAACUGUGUCCGUGAAUCCCUAAAUUGCAUAUUUAAUUCACUCUUGCUUUAUAAAAUAUCACUGUCUCAGCCUCUUAAGUGACCUGACAACUUUUCCUCCUUAGUAGUAAUUCCCAAAGCUCUUCAUUAAAUAUUUAGUAUCUGCAAGGUAGAUGGACAAGCAGAACCUGUAUCAUGCUCGGGUCACAGCAUUCAGUGACAGAGGCAGGUAAGUGUCACCGUGUGAUGGACUGGGUCGGGUCUGUAGCCCCCAUGGACAGCGAGGCCACACCUUGGUCUGUCGUGCACAGCUGGCCCCUGACGUUUCGCCCUCCCACGAUAGGCCGAGCUUUUGGAUGAUCAAACUACCUAGGGCCACAACUCACUGCCGGGGUGUUUUGGCUGGAGGUCCUGCCAGCCCAGAAACGCCUUCCUGCAAGAUGCAAUGGGUGGGAACCCACCCCUCCAGCGGGCUCAGUGUCACUGUCCCGGUCGCUCCACAGGCCCGAGGGGAAGGAUGCACUUCACAUCUCUGUUGUCUUCUACCAGCACAGCACGAGUGCUUGUCGGUGCCCACAGCCAGCAGUUUGCUUGUUCUACCUCUGAACACCAAUCCUGGAUAUUCAAAGUGCUGUUUCCAAGCAACUGGAUUUCAGUAGAAUGGUUUCCUGCCUCUGUCUACGCUCCUGUUUCCUGGAAAGAAGGCAGAAGCUUCCAGGCAUGGAAGGAACCAUCUAUGCAAACAGACCACACUCUGCGGCUGAGGUGGAAACAAAGGGCUCCGCACCGGAAGCCCAGCAAGGGGCAGGGACACCGAGCAGCGGGCCACAAGACGGCACCACGGCAGAACGGCAGAGAUCGACGAGAGCCACCGGACAUGCAUGCUCACACACGGCACGGUUUCUCUUACGUGAGAAACUCGAAGCAUACAUAAAGUACGGGGCGAAAGAGCAGAUGACUGACAGGGAACAGGGGGAUGGAGCUUUUCAAAUGGGAAGGGGUAGGAGAGAUGGAGGGAGGGGAGGGAGGGCAGAGGAAAGGGGUGACGGAAGGGCGAAGUGUCUCUUCCACGCACCAGCUCCCUCCAGGAGCGCGGCCGUUAUGUACUGCAAGCUCGUGCUGAUAAAAAUAAAAAUGCGAAACGGAAAAUAAUGAAGUAUGUAGGGAGAGGCCAGCACCCAAAAGUGGCUGAGGAACAAACACUGAGGCGGGCCGAGGGCUUCCCAUCCGAGC
RNAcentral lists this long non-coding RNA (1535 nucleotides) under Fukomys damarensis (Damara mole-rat). RNAcentral describes it as "lncRNA (ENSFDAG00000033258.1)". Lineage: Eukaryota; Metazoa; Chordata; Mammalia; Rodentia; Bathyergidae. The record is from RNAcentral.